Long non-coding RNA from Onychostoma macrolepis, 5132 nucleotides. RefSeq lists it as uncharacterized. NCBI's taxonomy places the organism in Eukaryota, Metazoa, Chordata, Actinopteri, Cypriniformes, Cyprinidae. The record is from RefSeq and is a predicted model, not a curated record. The transcript has 4 exons.
UAAUAGUUGUAGCUUUCCUCUGUGUAUACAUAUCCUUACACGUACAAUUUUAGUUGUAUUAUUUGUCCCCUUCAAAAACUGCUCUCGAGAAAUUUUAUGUAGCCUAUAUUGUCCCCUCCCACUGUGUGUGUGCGUGCGUGCGUGCGUGUGUGUGAGAAUGAAACCUUUACUUUCGUUUCUAAUUAAGUUUAAAUAUCUGAACUGUGGCCUCUACAGAAGCGUAUAUCAUUACAACAACUUCGGAGAUAAUGAACUCACCGAGAAGAACUGCUGCUCGUCGGUUUUACCCCAUCCUCCUCUGCGUAGCUGCCAUGUUUGCUUCAGUCGUGUUUGACAAGCGGAGGAACUGCUCUCAACGCGACUUCACUUCAAAAGAGAAGAUGAUGAUGUUGGGAGCGUUUCUCAGCACAUGAGAACAAGAUCACUUUUUCUGCAUCCCACUUUACAGCACGCGGAGGGCAGCGCUUCAUGGGCCUCUCUUCUUACUCGAUCCAUUUCUGUAGAGGGGGCGCAUUGAAAACAGGUUCACGCUGUAGGUCGAGGUCUUGUUUUUGAAGAGCUCUGUCACUCUGUCCUGCAUUCCUAGAAAGCUAUGCACUCCUCACUCAGCUGACAGUCUUGGCAGAUACCUUCACGCAUAAGGUGGAGUUUGCUGUAACGUUAACCUUCUGAAAAUACCCUGUAUUCAACCUGCUUUGACUUGCCUCACCCAUUUCAACAUUCUAAAUUGUAAUGCCUGAGGUGAGGGAUCCAGUUUUGCAUGUUCUUCUUUUCCAGUAACUAUGUCGCCUUAAUUACUUUGUACAGAACAUUAUGCACAAACAGAUGCCUAUACAGGAACACUGUUAACCACCAAAAUAGAGCAUUUAUGUUUAUCAUCAAAUCAGCCCUCCUUGUCAGUUUUGCUGCUGUAUGAUCAAUAUUGGACAUCAUAUAAUAUUAAGUACACUGUGAACUUUGAAUAACCUCAAAAUGAUGAUCAGUUUGAGUUUAUACUGGUGUGUUUCUGGAAGCAGAAGUAGUGAUAUAUGGUGUAACAGGUUUAUGACCAAACGCUGGCCAAUGAUAAGCUGUUUACUCUAAGUAUGGAAGUGUCAGAGCUAAAGAUAGCUGAAGUGAGCACUUGCAGAAGCAACAAGUGCUGAGGGUAUCAUUUCUGAGCCUAUAUGAUCACAGCUGAAGGACUGUAGAUGUCUUACGUUAAAAAAAACUUUCAAAAAGCACAUACUGUAUAUUAUGCUUAUUAUAGGAUCAUAUUCUUAAUGUAGAUUCACAUAGUUAGAAAUAUGCAACAAUGAUUCAGUUUUUUUUUAUGUAUGUUCAUGCAUGCAUGUCAUUAUAUAAUAUUUGUUAGUGACUUAAUAAUGAAUUGAUCAGAUAACACUUUUAGGUAAAGCAUUAAGUAAAAUGAUCUAACAAUGAGCAAUUCAUGAUUUUUGUCAAUCUUUGUUAAUGUCACUUAAUAAAAAUACAGCUGUUUGUUGUUCAUUCAUGUUAGGACCAUUAAACAAUGUUAAUAGAUACAACUUUUAAUUUUAUUAAUGUAUUAGUAAAUGAUCAAAUUAACAUUAAAGGAAUAGUUCACCCACAAAUGAAAAUUUGCUGAAAAUUUACCCUCAGGCACUUUUAACUUCAAAUGAGUCCUCUAUCCAUAAAAUUGCUUUCUCCAGUAAAAAGGCGUCUCAUCUGAAUCAGGAGAGAAAUAUGCACAGAUCAAGCACCGUCGUUGUCAUUGGAGAAAGCAUUAUUAUGGAUUAUGGAGAAAACAGUAGUAUAAAGUUAAAAGACAUUAAUUGAUGUACUGGAGUCGUGUGGAUUACUUGUGAAUUAUUGUGAUGUUUUUAUCAGCUGUUUGGACUCUCAUUCUGACGGCACCCAUUCACUGCAGAGCAUCCAUUGAUGAGCAAGUGUAAUGCUAACUUUCUCCAAAUCUGUUCUGAUGAAGAAUCACGCUGACCUGCUGUACGUAUUGGAUGGCCUGAGGGUGAGUACAUUUUAAGCAAAUUUGAUUAUUAUUUUAUUUAUUAUUAUUAUUACAGGGAAACACACUCACUUGUGUGUGUGUUUUUUCUAUAUUUAGGUUAGGAUGUGCUCAUGUCGACAUGCGCUUGAGAUGUAAGUUCACUGUUUUCCGUGUGUUUAGGGGUUUGUAUCAUAUCGUCUUUGUAUCAGCCAUGCAGAGGUCAGGGCCUGUGAGAUUGUUCAAGCGCAAACAAACUGACGUGGCCAAUGCUAUCAUUAGUGUGUAUAAACACACAUGGUUAAAAAAGCGAUUACAUUUAAUGUAAUUGCAGCAUGUGGAACAUCUUGAGUCACAGAUAUGAAGAUAUGAAAUGUGACUUUGCAUGAAACAAUAUUCACCCCAAAUGUUGUCCCGCAGAACAGCUGUCUGAACAAACAGUUUCAUAUUGAACAAUGCUGCUGAUUUGUUUACGGCCUCCCAGCAUGCAUUGCACCAUGAAUCAAUUAUGUCAUUACUGUUCUAGGAUUACUGUUUUGAUGGUUACUGACUUUAUUAAUACUGUUGUUGUUGUCAAUGUUAGUUUUUGUUAUGAAAUUACUUAUCGAUCGGCAUUUCCUUUAUAAAUUAAACAACAAAAAAGACACCUAAGGCACAGCUGCAUAGACUUUAUCAGUUAAGAUUUUUUUUUUUUAAAGAAAUUAGUAUUUUUAUUCAGCAAAGUUGUAUUACAUUGAUCAAGUGACAUGAUCAACAUUUAUAAUGUUACAAAUAAUUCCAAAUAAUUCCACAUUCCUAUUGCAAAAAUAAGCAUACGAGACUUCUUUGAAAAACAUUAAAGCAUUAUACCAACCACAAAGUUUUGAAAGGUAGCUAAUUUGACUAUUUCAAACUAAUAAAAAAAGAUUCAGAGAACAUGUUUAAUUUUUAUCUGGAAAUUGUUUCAUGUGAAUAUUGUAAAUACAUCAUUCUUAUCUAAUGUAUUUCUGUUGUAGACCUAUGUCUCAUUCUUUUAACACCCACAGCCUCACACAGUACGAUCUAACCUCAUUUUAACAAAGGCAACUUUAACCGAUUUAGCUGACUGUUACAAGUUGUUGUAAAUCUUUGCUAAGCUGCAUUGGAUCUGCAUCAUUAAAAUGUUUAGACGGAGAAACGUCACACCAGCGUGAGGUGAGGUAAUUGGAUAGGGCAGCGCUGGAUGGAGGAGAAAGUUAAGUAAUCAGAUCAGGUGUUGAAACAAGAGAAUCAUAGAAGGGCGCGGGUGAGGGAUAAAGCUAGAAAUCAGUUUAAUCUAUUUUGACGGAUGAUUUGGCGUAUGAUUCAUAUCUGUUGCAAAAACGGGGCAGGAUGAUUUAUAUGCCAAAGUUUAAUACUUAGGGAUUUUGGAAAAAUCCCUGUAAGAAUGAGCAAUAGUGGCGCUUCAGAAAAACCCACUAAUAAUAAGAGGGAAACACAGUACUUUCUGAAUAAAAACUAUUUGACUUCCUGUCAAAAACAUGACACAUUUUUUUUUUUUUUGGAAAACUCGUAAAAGGGACAGUUCCUCAAAAAUGAAAGCUGUCUCGUGUCACUGUUAGACUUUUGAUUAUCUUCGAAAACGAAGUUAAUAUAUUUUUAAUGAAACCUGAAAGAUUUAUGACGCUCCACUGAAAAUCAAUUACACCAGAAUUUUGACUGUUCAAAAAGUUCAUAAACACAUUGUAAAAGUAAUCCACAUGAACUGAGCAGUUUCUGAAGUGUCUUCCAAGUCUUCUGAAAAGACACAAUCUCAUGAAAACAAACCUCACGCGUCAGGCACGUAUAGCUUGGCUUCUGUUGACCAUAUUUGAUGUGCUCUAUAUGUGCAUUAAUCAGUGUUUAUACACUCUUAAAAAUAAAGGUUCCAAAAGUUUUUUUCCCCUUGAAGUGAUGCCAUAGAAGAACCAUUUUGGGUUCUUAAAAGAACCUUUCAGUGAAUAUUUCUUAACAAAAUGUUAUUUUUUUUCUUAGUGUGAAGAACAUUUUUAAAAAAUCUAAAUAACUAUUUUUUACUAUAAAGAACAUUUUGUGGAAUGGAAAGGUUCCAAAGAUGUUAAAGGCCCUUCAUGUUUUUAUGGAACCAUAGAUCGCAAUAAAGAAUCCUUUUGUUCCCCAGAGAACCUUUUAAUGAACAUUUCUUUCUUAGUAUGAAGAAUUUGUUUUUUGUUUUUUUGUAUGAACAUUUGAAGAACCUUUUUCCAUAACCUUUUGUGGAAUGAUAAGGAUCCAUGAAUGUUAAAUGUUCAUCAUGGAUCCAUUGAUGCCAAUAAAGAACCUUUAUUUUUAAGAGUGUAAAAGCCUAAAUUUUUUCAUCAAAUUGAUUCAAUUCUAAUUAAAUUCAUUAAAUUAUAUUAAGUUAUCGUGUCUCUUCAGUAGACUUGUAUUUAAGGGACAGUUCACCCAAAAAUGAAAAUACUGUCAUUAAUGUCGUUCCAAACCCAUAAGACCUCAUUGAACAGACAGAAACCUCUUAGAUUUCUUUACAAAUGUCUUCAUUUGUGGGUUAAACAUGAACGAAAAUGUUAAGGGUUUGGAUCGACGUGAGAGUGAGCAAAUGAUGACGGAAUUUUCUUUUUUGGGAGAACUAUCCCUGUAUGUAAAGUCUGCAUUGUGACCUCUGUCACUUCUAUCGAUCAGUGCUGUUCAAGUAGCAAAGCAAUAGCAGUGCAAUUCAAUACAGAUUCAUUAAAAAGUAAACCGUAGUUUGGUGCAGUGCUUGACCCCUCAUGCACAGAUUCUGUACCGUUGAACCGAGGCUAAGGUCAACAUACUCCAAGGAAGAUCAAUGGACUUCUGGAUCUGUUUGGUUAAGUAGUUUUCCACAGCAAAGCGAGCCUUCUGUUUCCAGUACGAGGUCAUGUGUGCUGAAUCGAUCCUGACCUGAGAAAACCGACACAUGUGUUUUGAAAGUACACGCAGGUGCAAAGUGCAGUGCAGGUGUGUGUGCACUGGAUCCAGCUCUGCAUGGGGACUUACAGCUCCAAGACCCUGUGAAAGCAUGUGUUGAUGUGUUGAAAUAUCUUUUCCUUUUGAAACAGGAGCAUAUUGAAGGGCUCAUCGUAAGUAGCCAGUAGGCUUUAGCUAAGGAUUUGCUACUUGCUUGUUGUUUGCAGAUGGCAUUUAGGUGAAUAAAUUCUCGUUUUGGAAAGUA